RNAcentral lists this ribosomal RNA (253 nucleotides) under uncultured bacterium. RNAcentral describes it as "partial 16S ribosomal RNA". It matches the Rfam family "Bacterial small subunit ribosomal RNA", at positions 524 to 776 of the family's 1533-position model. The record is from RNAcentral.
UACAGAGGUCCCAAGCGUUGUUCGGAUUCACUGGGCGUAAAGGGUGCGUAGGCGGCGCGGUAAGUCGGGGGUGAAAUCUCGGAGCUUAACUCCGAAACUGCAUUCGAUACUGCCGUGCUUGAGGACUGGAGAGGAGACUGGAAUUUACGGUGUAGCGGUGAAAUGCGUAGAUAUCGUAAGGAAGACCAGUGGCGAAGGCGGGUCUCUGGACAGUUCCUGACACUGAGGCACGAAGGCCAGGGGAGCAAACGGG